UCCAUUAGGUCCACUCCGCCCAUGGGCAU
RNAcentral lists this small RNA (29 nucleotides) under Bombyx mori (domestic silkworm). RNAcentral's name for it is "ovarian small RNA-27064". Lineage: Eukaryota; Metazoa; Arthropoda; Insecta; Lepidoptera; Bombycidae. The record is from RNAcentral.